GAUGAACGCUGGCGGCGUGCCUAAUACAUGCAAGUCGAGCGAACAGAUGAGGAGCUUGCUCCUCUGACGUUAGCGGCGGACGGGUGAGUAACACGUGGAUAACCUACCUAUAAGACUGGGAUAACUUCGGGAAACCGGAGCUAAUACCGGAUAAUAUAUUGAACCGCAUGGUUCAAUAGUGAAAGACGGUUUUGCUGUCACUUAUAGAUGGAUCCGCGCCGCAUUAGCUAGUUGGUAAGGUAACGGCUUACCAAGGCAACGAUGCGUAGCCGACCUGAGAGGGUGAUCGGCCACACUGGAACUGAGACACGGUCCAGACUCCUACGGGAGGCAGCAGUAGGGAAUCUUCCGCAAUGGGCGAAAGCCUGACGGAGCAACGCCGCGUGAGUGAUGAAGGUCUUCGGAUCGUAAAACUCUGUUAUUAGGGGAGAACAAAUGUGUAAGUAACUAUGCACGUCUUGACGGUACCUAAGCAGAAAGCCACGGCUAACUACGU
This 496-nucleotide ribosomal RNA is filed under the name uncultured bacterium. RNAcentral describes it as "partial 16S ribosomal RNA". It matches the Rfam family "Bacterial small subunit ribosomal RNA", at positions 28 to 506 of the family's 1533-position model. The record is from RNAcentral.